CAAUUUAAUGAUAACCAAGGAAAGACAUCUAUCGCACAAUUUUUGUCGCGUUUGCCUGUAGUUUAUUAGUUGCAAACUUUGUUGUGCAUAUCGCGAGAGCUGCAGUCAUUUGAUUAUCGGCGCAUAAAUGAUGGACUUGGAACAAAUAAGGAACUACAUUGAGAAAUUAAUAUGUAUUUUUAAUCCUGCCUUAUAGAAGCGGGUAAGCAUCAUUUAGCCUUUUAUUUUAUUUGGUUUUUAUUGUGUGUUCUGCAAAUGUGACCAUUUUAAGCGCUAAAUUACCUUUAGUAGCCAAUGUAAAAUGCAUGUAUGUAAUAUUUUAAAGCGUCGGUGAAUUAGUGUUGCUUAUAAACUUUUCUUUUUGAAUAUUAGAAAUAAAAACAAAGUUGAUGACAUGACAUCAGUGAUAAAUGGAAAAACUUAAUAGCUUACUGCAGCACGCGCAUUUCAAUAAGGCAGUGUAAUAAAUGUCCUGCAUUGCUUUGGACUCUGCUAAUUUAUUAUUGAUUAGAACAUGAUACAUGCACGCUGAGUAUACCACCAGGAUCAGUUUAUUCAAAUUUUUACUUUUUCUGACAGUGGCGGUUUUUCAGAAUCAGGCUGGGCUGUUUGCUUUCGCUACCAUAAAUGAACAUUUAAUAAUAUAAAUGUGUAAGUUCCUAAAUUUACAGGUUUGCGCAGUUUGAAAGAAGUACAGAGAUGGACACAUGAUUCAGCUGAGUGGUUAAUCCUAAGGUAUCUGCAGGGUGUGCAUUUCCCAUGGUACAGGUGGGAGAGUACAACGUGAAAAUUGUAAGCAAAAUACAGAGAUUCUUGUGGUCUUCUCUCUAUUAUUUUUCAUGCAGUUUUUCACGGUUGCUCUCCGCUUUUUUAAACACUCAGUGGAGAUUAAGAAGCAUGGUUCUCUGUGCUGACUGUCUGAACUGAGCCUUAUCCUCAGGAGACUGCACUCUUUUGCCUACUGUGCUCUUAGUAGCGCGCAGACCACGAGACCGUGGUUAAAUAUGAUCUGUACCAUCAAUGCCUUGUACUUGCUUUCAUAAAUUCUCAGAUGACUGUGAAUUGUAAGUGUUUAUGAGGACUUACACAGCAAAACAGUCUAAGUGUUUAUCAGACAGUCUUAUGCUACAAUCUUGAACCAUUUAUUUUAUUUAAAUGCAUUUUUAUAUUGUAUUUCUAAGCACUUUCGUUUGAUGUGAUGGUCAGUCUAAACCCUAAGGAGAUGUAAUGAUAAUUAGGUUCAGAUUUUCUGUGGCUGAAUUAAGGCGGAGAUGCAGUAGCUGUGCAGGGUGUGGCACUUUGUCGGGGCUGUUAGUGAACAUGUUUGGAUAGAGAGAUCAGAGUUCCAUCUCUUGGCCCGCUCGCACAUUCUGUUUCAGGUCAUCCGUGUUUGUCUUCCUCCCUCUGUAUCCCUUGCUCCAUCCCCUGCUCUUACCCUCCUUAUCUCUGAGCUCAUUCUUUGCUUUUGUCCCUGAUCUCACAUUUUCCUUCCCUCCCGGCUCUCCAUUAGCUGCAGUCCUUCUUCUGCGUGCUUUGGCUUCACUGGGUCAUCCCUGUUCUCACCUCACAUCCCCUGCUUGCGUCAAGAGUGCUGAUGGGAGAAACAAACUGACUGAAAGGGCUUCUGUGGGAUGGAUUUAUUGCUUUGGCCACCAGAUAUGGAGGCAAUAAGUUUCACCAAAUUUGUACCUGAGCUGUCUAAAUAGAAGACUGACUCUGCAAGCCAGUUUCUGCUAUGAAAUGUAAACGGGAUUGCUGUUAAACACUAUUGCACAUCAGAUCAAUUAUAGAUCAGCUUUGGUUUAGGCCUCUGAGGUUUACCACACUGUUACUAUCACACUGUAAUGGAUAUACCCAACACACAGCCACAAGCACACAUGUGAACCCUUUGUCUAAAUAAUCCCAGUCUCUUCUUGUUGGUUUUGAAGUUACAAAAAUGAAAAUGUUUCAAGAUGAAAAAUUAUCACCUGAGCAAAUUAUUACCUGGAGUUUUAAGCUACCCAGACAAAAAAGUUUCAGUCCAUUGUGUGCAAGUACAAUCUGUGUGGGCAUACAUUUGUUUGAAUGGGUACGUUUGUGUUCCUGUGUGAAGUGAAUUUGAUUCUGCGUUAAUGUGUGUUGUGUGUGUAGAUGGAUAUCACUAGUAUGUACAUCCCCAUGAUUCAUCAAGCUUUCAGUCAGUGACAUAAUUGACAACCUCUGCUUCUACAAUGUCAUAUAAUAUUUAAGUCUCUGACGUGAUGUGCCAGGCAUUAAUUAUCACUGUGCCUUUUCGAUUACUCACUCUGCUUUGCUUUACUGGAAUUCAGCGGAUGCUCUUACCUAGAGCAUGCAAACACAAUCACAACGAUCCCAGACAGUGGGCAGAAGUUCUCUAGAGGGGGAAAGUAUAGUCCCAAGAGAAGAAGCAAAUGCAAGAAGUGCACACCUAAUUGAAAAUUUCACAACUAUGCUUCUGAACAUUGAAUUAAGCUAUAUGAAAAAGAACAAAAUGGCCCUAACAAGUACUAAACUACUUCAAAUGAACAACAGCAAAGAACCAUUCUGAAAACAAAAAAGUUACACCUUCUCUGGUGGUCUGACUCAGUAAAAGUGCUAGAGAGGGUUGGGGUGGAGGAGCCAAGGUGCAGUCUGAAUAGGUGUGUGUCAGAAGAUGGCUAAUGACUCUGCUGUUUUUACUGCCAUUGGAAGCUCCACCCACCACAGAGGGGCUAGAACAGACAGCAGACAUGACCGGCAAGUGCAGACUUGGAGAGGGGGAAAUGCCGGAUGUCCCAAGGCUGUCAAACAGAAGGGUCUGGUUGCUCAAGAUGCCAUUUCGGCAGGCUGAGAUGCGUGCAGAGACCUGUAGGAAACAAAAAGUGGAGUGCCAUCAGAAUAACACUGAGAUGAGUACAGAUGACGGGACCAAGGGGUUUGAUGUAGAGGAAGCAGAGAAGAGAACCGAGGGGGAGACCUGGAGGACGACUGUAGAGAUGCUGUGGGGUGUUGUUCUUCCAAGUUGCUGGGGGUGAGCCAUACAUCUAGCUAGGGAGGACAUAGGAAAGGGCAGUGCUGCCGAUAUCCAUUUCAGACAGGGAAGACUGGAGAAUGUGGUGGUCAGUAGUGUCAAAUGCCCUAAUACAACAUUAAUGAAAUGGACAUUAAUGUAACAUUAACCGCACCAAAAAUGAAUUCCAUUUGUAAUUGUAUAAGACCUCAGUACGCUUUAGCUGAAAAUUGCAGCUGCGUCUGCAAGGCUCGUACAUUUGAUAAAGUUCUUAGUUUUCUGUGAUAUGGGCUGGGUUUACAUAGCUCAUUUCCUUCCACAACAGACAAGAUCUGUGUUUGUCACCUCAUUCCAGAUAAUUCACACAGGGUCUAAUCAGCUCCUACAUUUACAGUAAAUAUAGGGAUUAUUAUGGAAUCUUAAAUUAUCUUUUUUUACUGAUUAUACUAUUUAAAGAUAAAAAGCUUUUUACAAAAGCUUUUUGGAUCAAAUUGUAUAAAGCUGUAUAAUAGUCUGUCAACACUGAGAGCCAAUAAGUUUUCAUUUGUAAACAAUUGUGGUUGCUCAGGGAAGCGAUGGUUGCCUUUUUGACAAACACAUUAUCUGUAAGCAACAGAAAAAUUGUGCCUGUAAAAAUCUAUAUUUUCUCAGUUGACUGCCAAAAUUAUGCUAAUUUGUGUCCUUUUUAUGUUAAAUGUUAGAAAUAUAUAAUGCUCAACUUAGACAAUGUUUUAAGUUACACAGAAAAAUAAUAAACUACACUCUAGAAAGCUUAACUUACUGAGGAGUGUACCUGUUUUCACACAUGAAAACAGCCUAUGGUUUAUUUGAUUUGUUUUGCUUUAAUGUCACUGUUUGACUGUAUUGUCUUUUUUAUUUUGGUCUUGGGAACUUGUGUCUUGUGUUUUGUAUUUGUAUUUAGGUCCUCCUUGGAAAAGAGAUGUCAGUCUCACUGGGGCCUGGAUAAGUAAAACCAAAGGCAGCCUUGUAAAUAUUCUGCUGAAUUAAGUUUAGGAGAAUAGAGAAAAACAGAACUAUAUGCCUGAUGGGUAAUGGAGUUACUUAUGACAUCAGAAAUGUUUCUGGAUGAAUAGAAAUAACAAAAGGCUUGUAUGUAUUUUUGAUGUUUUAAACUUUUAAACAUUUAUUUACGUAGCACUCCCCCACUGUGAAUCCAUGUGUAAGAUGUAAAUGUAAAUGUUCUAAUGUGCAUUUACACAUUAGGCACAUAUAUAAAGUUAAUUAGGGAGAUAGGAAUUUUCUGUCAUAUGUGAAUUUCACUUCUCAGGAAGUUAGAAAAGUCCUGCUGUGAUACACAGACCCUCAGAUAUGCCCGUGUUGGAGUGGGAGAGUCAUGUAAUAAGAAUGUCUAGAGAAUGUCGUUCCCCCGACACAGACCAAUUACCAGUUCAACUUCGCUUUGGAAUCCUGCAUUGAAGGCUCGCGUGGGCCUUGUCCCACUCCAGCCAGCCGAAUCAUCUUGCUGUGUGUGUAUAGACAGCCUGAGAACAGCUUCUGACCUCUGAGAGUUACACAGAGGCAUGCUGUUCCCAUUCCUGAAGGCUGCUCUUGAAUGAUAGCGCAGCAACAAAGAGACCGCGCUUCUCUAUCAGAGGGGAACACGUGAAUGAGGGCAGUAUAUCUGCAAAGCUGUGCUUCACAUGGGGGCUCUUAAAUUCACUGUGCUGCCAUUAGGGCCUGGAUGCCACAGAGGGGUUUAGGAACCGUAAAGUAAUGUACAAACCUUUUAAUGGUGUUGCAGAAGUCUGCCAUUAUGAGCCAUUCCUGUUGGUGUCUCCUUAAUGCCAGUUAAAGUUGGAGAUGUGGGUUUUUUCAUCCUGUUUACUUAGCACCUGGAUGUCUGUGUCAGUGCAGUACUGCAUUCAAAUGGCAGGGUCGUGACCUGUUCAAACAGGAAAAUACCCAGAUUUAAUGCUCAGGGGGAAACCUUGCAAUUAGUUUGAGUCUCAAACAAUAGUGAACUGGAUAGAUUCUCUAUUUUCUGAAUGGGUGGUGUCAAGGUUUAUAUAAUGUGUCCAGUUUGUUUAUUCAUUUUGGAAAAAAAAGCUUGUAAGUGUUUCUAUUUUUAUUAGCACACCGCACAAACAUGUCUCUUUCACAUGGAAUUUAAUUAUAAACUAUUCUUCUUAUGAAGAUGUGAUUGUGUUUUAAACAUCUGUAGUUUGUCAGCAUAGCCAGGUUUUUAUUUUACACCCCUUUGGAAACGAGCUCUCAGUCCAUUUAAUUUGUUCAUCCCUUAUUUUGAUCAACAUGUCAUCCUUUCGUGGUUCUGAGAUUACAUAUAACACAAGGAUAUAACUGUAGAUUUGAGAUUGCUUUUCCCUUGGGCUGUAGAAGUAGUUGUGAAUACUCACUGAGUUUUUGUCUUAACUUGGUUGUGGUAAGCCUUACCACAGUCAGGUUAAACCUGUGUGUGGCGACUGUAGAGUGAGGUGUCUUCGCCUUCAUCUGUGAAAUACACUAGCUACUGUACUGUUCCUACAGCUGUAUGUCAAGACAUCUUUUUCUUGUAUUUUCAUGUGCUGUGGGGUCAUAGUGCUGUGGGAAUGUAAUCUCAAUUGGCGUGCAAAUAUAUUUGAAUGAAAGAAAACUACUGAUCUCUAAUACUGACCUCCUGCACUGCUUUUUUCAUCCCUUAGUGGCCAGAGCUGGUUAUGUGGCCACCACAUGGCCCCAUUAUCUUUACGGAAAUCCCCCUCUUAAACCGUCCCCUGGCCCCCCACCCCUUGCAUUUCUGGACACACAUGCAGUGCAUUGUGUUUGAGCUUUCAGUGCUGCAAACACAAUCCUCAUUGUGAUACUCACACGGUAAAAAGAUCAGUAUUAAUUAAACUCUUUAUGUGAGUUUAUUUGAAUCCAAGCAGAAUCAAAUCUGCUUUAUUAGAGUGAAAUGUUCUCUAUCAGAGUGAAUUUAACACUGGACAUUUGCUGUGAAUUCAGGAAUUUUUGAAUAGAUAAGAAAUACUGUACUUGACAGGCUGACCAAAGCAAGGGUUGUAGGUCAUCUUUGGACAUGAAGCUUAUGCGACUAACGUGACUCUUGACAAGACAGUUAUUUGACCCCAAUGACCACAGACUCUCUAUGGAAGUAUUCAUCUCUAUACAGACAACAGUACAAACUUUUUCCACAUUAUGCUAAAGCUACAAAAGAUUCCAAAAAUCAGCAGUAGUUACCCAUAGCAUAUUGUUUUCAGUAAAUAGGAUUGAUAAUUGAUCAUCAAAAAGCAAUUAAUAAUUAAGUUGCAUCCUGAUUUCCUUUGUCAGUUCCAUUAUUUUCUCUCAUCUCAUUGUAACAUUUACACAGUAUCAUCACAUCGGAAACAUCUGUGCAUAAAUAUGAUAAGUUGUCUGGGCAGCGUUGAGGUAAGACAGUUGGAACCUAGGUGAGGGUAUGUUUGACUUCUCUGUGGUGCCGUUUGGCCUCUGAGUGAAACCAACAGACAGUGACCGGUGCUUGUCAUCCAAGGAGACCCUGUUUAGAGGCCAGUGCUGUCUGCUUCAUGUGUGGGAGUCAUUCAUAAGGGGCAUUCAGAUGAAAAAUUCCACUCCAGGUCCCAUUAACAAAGGAUUUUUUUGUGAGGGAGAUUUGCUAAAUUGAGAAAUUACAUAUUCAUUAGAAUCACAUAAACAGUGUUUUGUUUCCUGCUUGCAAAAUGAAAAGCAUCUUUUUUUUGUAGUCCUUGUACACUGUGUGCAUGCUGUGAUUGUUGGAAGAUGAACUGGCAGUAGGAGAGUAAACAAAUGAAUCACAACAAGAUCUCUGGUCUUCUGUUUGUCAGUAGGGAUUAGUGUUUGUCAGUGAGCACCUAUCUUUAACAGCAGGCAUUAAUCUUGGCACAGUUACAGAGUGUUGGUCUUAGAUUUGAAGGUUGAAUUUGUAUUGAUCUGUACAUGUGCAAGAGAAGAUUGUGUUUAUCCUUUAUGUUUCUUUGGGAGAGAAGAGAAGGGAAGUUAUCCAGGAUUUACUUUGUCAUUAUAGAAUUAAAAAAUACAUCCUCCAUGUCAUUCAUUUCAUUGUUCCACUUGGUGCAGCCAAGAUUUGGAAUAAUUCAGCAUUUCAACAGACCAUGCGAACAUUGUGUGUUUGCUUAAAUUUGUCUUUUAUUAAAGUAUAGCUUGGAGGCUAGCAACUGAGAUUACUUUUUGAGAUGAUAAAUAAAAAUUCCUAUUCACAGAGGCAGAGGAGGUCCUGGCAGGGAAAGAAUCCUUUAAACAAUGCUUUCCUUCCUGUGGACUGAUACUCUGUGUGGUGCAGAAAGUAAAAAAUGACAUCAGAUGUAGUGUAUUGUUCAUUAACAAUAUGUUUAAAAAAAAAAAAACUAAUUUAACCAAAUAGCAUUUGGUUAAUCACAUACAGUUUAGUACAGUGUCCUUGCAGCUGUAAUCAUGAACACAAUAACAAAACUGCUUUCACAGUAUUUCAUUGACUCAGAUUGUAGUGUGAAGGAAGUGUGUUGUGCCUGCAUAGACUAACAGCAGGGAAUAUGCAGGCAGUAUGUGUGUGUGUGUGUGUGUGUGUGUGUGAUGAUUCCUGUGACUUGGUAGUGCUGGAAACAGGAAUUCUGUUACCUAUUAGAAUUCAUACUACAGAGGAAAAACAAUGAUCUGUUUGAACAUGUGCCCAGUCUUCUUCUCUGUAGUCCUCUCUGUGUGUGAUUUUUCAAUCAAGAAUCUAACUCACCAGUUUUGAUUUUUGUUCAUUUUCUGAGUGGCACCAGACUGACAGUUUGCAGAUGACUGUUCACAUUUCUGAGGACCAGCUUGUGGGACUCAUGGGUCUGUAUUGGUGGAGAGAGUUGCCAGUGCCACAGGCUAGAGAAAUGGUUCUAAACUACCACUGUUGUUGUUUGUUGCAGACAACUAAAGAGCAAUAACUGAAAAAACCCCCCAGCUGCACACACCUGGAGCUUAACCCAUUACAGACAGGGUCUUGAAUAACUGAAACUUUAUAGCAGAGUAACUUCCUGAAACUCAACCACUUCCCCAAACACGCUUUCAUGCUUUCUGCUUGCUUUACCUUCCCAUCCUAGCCCUCACGGUCACUGAAAAUGCCCAUGCCUCUCUCCAGACCUGGGUCGAAUACAGAUGCCAAUCAAAUACAUUUCAUUUACAAUAUAUUUUUGUGUGAGUGUGUAUUAAAGCUAUUUGCAAAUAAACCAGGGAAGACCAAUUCCUUUUACAUCAUGUAUUUGUAAAUAGAACAAAUACUUUAAUUUAAAAUAAUUGAAGAAAUUCAAAUGAUUCAAAUACCAUUAUAAAGAUAUUAAUACAAAAUUAUUAAAAUAUCUAUUUGUUCUGUAUACUUACUUCAAAGAGUUUUAGAAUAUUUUGAAUGAAAUGUAAAAUACAAUUCAUGAGAUAUGACAGUGUUUCCAAACUCGCGGUUAGCUCCCCCCUUUCUAUAUGUAUUGAUCAUGUGACUCCAAUCCCACUCUUGAAAAUCUGAAACUUUUUGGCCUCCACCCUCUGCCAGUGAAGAGAACAGCAUGCCUGGUUACUGAGCACCCCUGAUAUUAAUCAGGCACUUAGUGCAGCUACAUAAAGGGCCUGCUUGAGUGGAGCAGUGUGGAAUGUUUGGUGCAGUGUUAUUGGAAAGCUGUAUUUUGUGACGUGUAUUUGCCUGUGCAAAUCAUGCAAAUCAUGAUGGAGCAAUAAGAUGCUAAAAGCCUUGAAGAGACUAAUAACUGUGCUGUGACCCUGUGGAUAUACCUAAGACAGCUUCCACGACUGUUCAGCGACUCUGUGGAUAUACCUAAGAUGGUUAAUGUUAAUAAAAGAGCAUAACAUGUUUAUUAAUAUAACAGAUACACAAGGAAUUCAGAAAAAUACAACAGGUUAAGUUAGACAUAAAACAAGUCAUGUUUUUUGGGUCAAGGUUAAUCAAGGGCAAUGAGCAGCUGGUCAUCACGUCACCUCUAUCUCUGAAUUCAGAAAGGUGAUAGCCAUAGGUUUGAAAACGGUAAAGCCAUUUCUCCCCACACAAAAACUUUCCUAAUUCGGUGGGUAUCCGCCCAAUCUGGCAAAACUGGUUUGGGAUUACAGUUCAUUUCCAAAUUCGAUGCAAUGGGGUGUAAACAGCUAAAAAAACUGCAAUUUGCCCCCGUGGCUGCUGCAACAAGCAACUUCCUUUCCAUUCCCGUCCUCAUGGUGAUACUGAGAGCAAACUUAUCUUCAGCACAGCCUUGUGUAUUGUGGAUUAAUGGAGGAAUACGAUGACAUCACAGAGCCGGAAUGCUUCUUUCGAUAAGGACCAUCAAAGCUGAGCUCUUAUCUCUCUCAUAUUGGAAUCUGUUGUUGAUGUUUUGAUAUGUGUGCUUUUUGCUGCCAUUAGAUGUGUCCUAUUAUAGCUGGCCAUUUUCCCUUAUUGUUUUUUUCUUUCUUCUGUCAGUAUAAAAAGGUUUUAAAUAAUUCAUUUGUGCACAUUUAAUCAGUUCAGAGAGCUGGCGGAUGGUGGACAACGGGUGGAAAUAUGGAAAUGCAAUAGUCUCCUAUAAGAGUCAGUCUGUGUAUGAGGAAUUGCUGGAGGUAGGCAAGGCUGGUGGUAUAAUGGGAGGUAUAACACUACAUAUUCAUAGUCCAUUUUUGCACAAUUUUAUGUAAAACACUGCAUAUUCUUCUCUUUAUAAAAAGUAUUGGCUAGUUGAAAAUGGUAUUAAUGCUUCUCUAUUAGUUUCCCAUGAACUCAAGUGAAUGAUGACAUACAGUACUGUGAAAAAGUCUUAGGCACCCAAGAUUUUUAAAUAUAAUAUAUAGUAUAUAUUUGGUCUUAGAUGUUUAUUUUUUGUUUUCUGCAUUAGUGUGUCAGUAGAAAAGAGCAAAUUUGAGAUUUCCAAAAAAAAUGAAAUUUUACAGAUACAUUUUUGUAUUUUGUUAAAGUAAUAUUUUAAGUAAUAGACUACUAAAAACUUGAUCAAGGGUCUCUGGGAUUACCUGGAGUUCCAGAAGCAAGCAAAACAGCCAAAAUCUGCAGAAGAACUGUGGCAAGUUCUCCAAAAUGCUUGGAACAACCUACCAGCCAGGGUGGUCACACCAAACAUUGAUUUUAUUUAAAAUAUAAAUUUAAGCACACAUGACUGUACAUGUGGAAUGAUACACUGUACAGUAUGCCCUUUUAAGUUUGAUCGUUCUAUUAUGUUAUGUAACAUGUAACUAACCUUCUGGAAGCUGACUAAUAAUUAGAAAUUUUGUGAGUUAAAAGGAGCUCAAUCAAAAAAGCACAUUAAGCCAACUGUCUCAGGUAUAGCAGGCCAGCUUUGUGCAUGGAACAUCAUGUUGGCAAAGGAAAUGUUGGUCCUUUUCUAUAAGGCGCAGAGAUAUUUAGGCAAUAAAUACGUAAGUAGUACACACUUCAUUGCAUGCUGCUCGUAGCCGAAUGUUAAAAAGAAGGUGCCUCUGUUCUCAGUUAAGCAGCAGGCACAUGAACCCCUUCUGUAGAUUAGAGCAGCGUGACGACCGCAGACAAAUCAGAUCAGUAUUUAUAGAGCAGCGGAGAUAGUCAGCCGGCCUGGUGUCUGUGCCCCGGUGGCUUCACAUCUAUCAGGUGAACGGAAAGAGAGGGAUUACUGUUUCAGAAGAGCGGCUGGGGAGGGUGAAGAGGAGUUGGGGGGUUGUGGAAGAUGAGGUGCUGAAGAGAAGAAGAAACAGGUGGGCAGAGAUUGAAGAGGAGUUUGGGAGAGAUUUAAGAGGAGGCGGGGGAGAGAGGAAGAGGAGGUGGGACUGGGUGGUUGUGCAGAACCAGGAAUACCUUGCCCCGCAGGGAAGAGAGGAAUUCCAGCCUGAUGCCGACACAGGGUUACUGUGAGACACUGCCCCUGGCAUUGGUCUGUCUUUUCAGUUGUCUUCUGUGGGUUUGCUAUCUAAACAGAAGAUUUUCGGCUAAAUUUCCAAGCCCCCCACCGCAGGCUGGACAGCCAAGUAUGUCAAUCUUCCACCACAGACUGAAAACAAGCCUGUUUUCACUGUCUCUUGUCUCAAUAAAACUCUGAAAUCAGAGCCUUUAUUACAGAUUUACUGUCCCUAUAUACAUAUGCUACAUACAACACUAUGCUUUCAAAUCCGUUUUAUACUUAAAGCGCAACAUCUUCAAUCACCCGCUUGUAUGGCGCUUAAUAUUUAUGUUGUAAAUUUAUGUACUGACUGCUACGCUGAGUUGUGAUACUGAUGUCUUGACAUUUUCUCUGGCACCAUCUAGAACUUUUUGUGCCCGUAUUUUGUAAAUCAGUCUGAAUGAGAGCGUUUGCCACUAAAUGCCUCAACAUAAAUGCAGUUUUUAGUAUAAAAUUGUAGUAAAUUUCAGUUAUUUGGUGCCUUCUUUCUUUUGCUGUCGCUGUAAAUAUUAAGUAUUAAGAGAGAAGCCAACAGAAGCUUAAAAAGUUUAGUUUCUGUUUUGAAUUGAUCAUUCAUCAUAUCACGAAUCCUCACUGAUAUCACCAAAUUUUACAUUACAUCCAAAUUAAUGUGGUUUCUAAUAAAGUUGUUUCUUGAAAAUAGACUGGGUUGCAGUACAAGUCUUGGAAAACCCAGAACAAAUGUGUAAAUUAUGCCCUGAAGCUUGUUAACUGCAGAAUUGGUGUAAUAAAUAGACACGAGCCCCAGAUUUAUGAGAUGAUCUCAGGAAGUCAUGUACCCACAAAACUACAGCACAACGCAUGAUAGAGAGUGAGCAUAUUUGCUGUACACACAUGUUCUUCUGUCCGCUGCAUAUCACCGUUAGUACAUAAUUCACUGCUCUCUCGACACUCCUGACUGGCUGAAAGAUUGUCUGGCGGGGUAUCAUAUUUUUUUGUUUGAUUUAUGUUGCACUCAACCUCUUAGCCUUUGCUCCCAGUUCAGAAACACACAGGCCCUUUCUCUGUCUCACACGGUCCGGAUUUAUGAGCUGGGAAAGACUCGUCAGCGUAGGAAUCCCCCUGCCCCCCACAGCCCACGCUCUCGUGUUGACGGCGCGGCCCAUCCACCGGGACAGACGGCCACUCUCCCGCUGUCAGGCCGAAUGGACGGCCGCCUCCGGCCCAUGUGAAUGCCUGAUUGUGCGUGGGGGCGGUGGCAGCUCGCGCCCGUGUGCGGUGAUUGGCUGGUGGAAUGUGAUUGUGUGCUGUGUGAAAGGGCUGGGGUGGAGGGCCCUGGCUGCCAUGUAGGGCCCGGAUGCCAGGCAUUCCCCGGAGGGUUCUCCCCCGCUUUGGCUGUGGAGCCUGCCACUCCAUGCAGGGACCCUGCUGCUAAACACCGCCUCGGUCUGAAUCACAAUUAACCUAAAGCCCCCCACCCAUGGUAGUCUUUUUUCUGUUGCUGCUGCUGAUGAUGUUCAUAGAGCAGUGUAUUGAGUCUGUUUGGAGGGUACUCUGUGAGUGAUCAAUGUAAAUGUGAUGGAUAUGUAUACAUGUAAGUGUAUAUAUAGUACAUAGAAUGGGGUAAUGCUACAGUGUAGUGUAAAGAAUGGGGUAAUACUAGUGUGUAGUAUAAAGAAUGGGGUAAUAAUACAGAAGAAAACCCUUAAGUGUUUUACCUGACUUUGCUGCCGGACCUUUUUAGUGUAUCUCUCAAAGAAUCUGCAAAGUGCUACAUGUUAUUGCAUGCCUGCUGGUGAUGCUUACAAAUAGCUGGCAGUGUACCAAUUCCUAAUUCUUAUUAAAGUUCAAUUAAAACCCCAAACCUUCCUGCAUGAGGGCAUCUUGGAAGGGAUUAUCUAAUGAAUCUCAGUCAAUAUUCACUUUGACAAAAUAUGCAUUCACAAUAAUUGUAAACAGUAUUACACAUAAAUUUAUGUCAAUUGUUCUUGUAGCCGAAGAGUCAAAGUAUUUUAACCCCCAUCUCUACUGACCUAAACAGUAUAAAUAAAAAAUAAACAGCAGACUAGGCUCAUUCUGAAUUUAUAUACACUACACUACACUGCCCUGUUCAGUUAAAUCCUUUACAUGUUUUAAAAGAUUCUCCUGCCAUUAUUAGCAAAGUAUUUAAGAGCUGAAACAGAGAGAGAAAUAUUGCUCUUUGCUUUUCUGUGCCACCAAAGGAACUAUAGGGAUUAAUGAUGGCCAAUUUAUUACAACGUUGUCAGGCCCCAUCUUACCAGCGAUAUUAUUGUCUGCAGAACAGAGCUGGGUCCUAUGUGGACACAGCAAGUCAGAGUGAGGCUUGCGACCCAUAAUUCAGCUCGUAAAUCAUCUGCUUCCAUUUACACACGCUACCUCAUCUUCCCACAUUCAGUGUUUACUUUGGAAACACGUGGACUAAAAAAUGAAAAGCAUGUACUGAGGUACAGUCUUUAUGUGGGCUACACUUUGUGUGUGUGCUCUCUAUAACAAUUCUGUCAUCACAAAAGUCAUUUUGCAGUGUGUACCUGUAGGCUUCUGGUCUGCCUCAUUGAUUAAAAAAAAAAAAUUGUGGUUAGCUGUCUAUUUUUUCCUCAGCGAGACAAAGGAGAUGAUCGAAUCAAAAUAGCCAAAGUCAUCAUGCACUACAGGGAGCCAACGGGACUCAGUUAUUGCCCUUUAAAGGGCUUUUUGGCAACAAUAGCAUCCAUUUACAUCUGUGAGCUGGAGCCGUGGAGGAAAGCGCUCGUAAGAGCACAUGCUGAGAUCCUGAUCCUGUCAGAGAGAGUUCCUCUGGGAGGCUACUGUUUGUGUAAGAGUGGAGACUGCUGUGGAUGCUGUUCUUGGGAUGAAAAUGGAAAUGUUGAUGCGAUUGACAGUUUUAUGGGGUAGAUUUUUGUUAAUGCUGUUAUUCGUAUAAGAAGUGAAAUGAUUGGGAGGUUUUUUGUGAAAAGCACAUUCCUGACUCCAUAGUUAUUUGCUGGUUAAAUAAUUGAUGUUGUUUCCUGAAGCACUGUAGCCCCCUGCUAAUCCCGUGUGCAUUAGGAGCCUUUCAACCUAAUGUGACUCGGACAGCCCGCCUCCCCCCCCCUCCCCCCAGCCUCCUGCAUCAGGUGCACUCAGCACCCCAGUAAAGUAGCACUUUAUCCACGGCUGUGUGUCUGUAUUCUGCCCCCACCCCCCUACGAAGCUGGUGUUUAUCUUGUCUUCAGUGGUGCACUUACAGUAUGCAUUUCCUGUCUUGUUUUUAUCCAGCUUUGUAGAGUAUUGUAUCUAUAUUGUGGAGUAUUUAUCUGUAUUAUGGAGUACAGUUUUAGCCUGUGGGCAAUGGCUGCCAUUUGAGCGAUGGUGCUGUCUCAGUGACAAUGUGGUGGGCCCUUAUAUUAGCCGAUGUGGGUUCUAACAGGUUUUCGGGUUUGAAAUGGAAAGUGAAUUUGGGCCACAGGAGGGUUGGAUGGACGCAGUAAAGCCCUAUCCAUAUUUGAUGGUUGGCAGGUGUGCCCUGUGCCACCACCUGCAGUGUUGGAGGGGAGGAUACAGUGGACUCUUCUGCAGGACAUGUACAAAACGCAAGGGGACCACCCAUGUUUGCUUGAAACUUCACCCAUCCAGGUUGUUUAAUUCAGUGUGUUCAGGCACAGAACCCACAGACAAUAGAACCAAUUAUUGGGGACUAAUUUGCUGAUGUGGAGAAUUCAGGGAUCUGGUUUGUUUUCCUCAAAGCCAAUCAGUGCAACAUGAGCAUCUGUGCUAUCAAGAGUAUCUAUACCAUUAGGUUAAUUAAAAAUUGCAUUAUAGCUGUAUCAUUUUUCAUUUUUAUUUUGUUGUUUUUAGAAUGGUGUUUCCCUAUGACAGACAAAAUCAAACUUAAAUUUUCAUCUGAAACCUUUGAGGCUGAUUAAUAAAGUUGAUAAAGCUGA
Molecule: long non-coding RNA, 14738 nt
Organism: Anguilla rostrata (American eel)
Lineage: Eukaryota; Metazoa; Chordata; Actinopteri; Anguilliformes; Anguillidae
Exons: 2
Source: RefSeq, a predicted model, not a curated record